AUACGUAGGGGGCGAGCGUUGUCCGGAAUUACUGGGCGUAAAGGGUGCGUAGGCGGAAUGUCAAGUCAGAUGUGAAAUACCCGGGCUUAACCCGGGGGCUGCAUUUGAAACUGACAUCCUUGAGUGCAGGAGAGGCAAGUGGAAUUCCUAGUGUAGCGGUGAAAUGCGUAGAUAUUAGGAGGAACACCGGUGGCGAAGGCGACUUGCUGGACUGUAACUGACGCUGAGGCACGAAAGCGUGGGGAGCAAACAGGAUUAGAUACCCUGGUAGUCCACGCCGUAAACGAUGGAUACUAGGUGUGGGGUCCGAUAGGAUUCCGUGCCGCAGCAAACGCAAUAAGUAUCCCGCCUGGGGAGUACGAUCGCAAGGUUGAAACUCAAAUGAAUUGGCGGGG
RNAcentral lists this ribosomal RNA (395 nucleotides) under uncultured bacterium. RNAcentral describes it as "partial 16S ribosomal RNA". It matches the Rfam family "Bacterial small subunit ribosomal RNA", at positions 523 to 918 of the family's 1533-position model. The record is from RNAcentral.